UAUUAAAAAUUUCAUCCAUUUUUACUGUAAAAAAUUCGCAUGACUAAUGGCAUAAUCAAACAAUUACACGUGGUGUGCCACGUUUACCUAAUGCCAACGUACAAAGACUAGUUUUUAAUAAUAGAAAUAGAUAGAAAUUUUAACA
This is a microRNA precursor of Gossypium arboreum, 145 nucleotides long. It matches the Rfam family "MIR7502 microRNA precursor family". NCBI's taxonomy places the organism in Eukaryota, Viridiplantae, Streptophyta, Magnoliopsida, Malvales, Malvaceae. The record is from Rfam.